UGGGCUUCAAUGGACUUUAGUCAUUUGAAACCUCAUAGUUUUGUCCUUUAAAAGGGGCUUCAGACCUUAGUCAUUUGGAGCCUCAUAGUUUUGCCCUUUAAAAGGUGCCUCACAGAAAAGAGAGAGAAGAUUCCAAUCCAAUCCAUAUAAGCCAUACUCUCUUUUGACUCACAGUCAAUAUGGGACUAAAGAUGCGGUCC
Molecule: long non-coding RNA, 200 nt
Filed under: Elaeis guineensis (African oil palm)
Lineage: Eukaryota; Viridiplantae; Streptophyta; Magnoliopsida; Arecales; Arecaceae
Description: long non-coding RNA (EGUI_LNC007838)
Source: RNAcentral